CCGAGCAACCACAGGUCGCAGCCGUUGCUCGUCCACACCUGCGCGCGCCACCGCAGCUUGCCUUGAACACGCCUGUGUGCGCAUCCGCAGAUCGCCGCAGGUACUCGCCCACGCCUACCACGCCGGCGCAGCCCACCCUCGCCUUGCCGAUGCUUGCGCGAGACACUGCAGCCCGCCGCCGGUGCUCGUGCACGUCUGCACGUGCCGGUGCAGCCUGGCAGGUGCCUGCGCGAGCCACCACAGCUCGCUGCCGGUGCUGGCCCUCCCCUUCGCGCGUUGGCGUAGCUUGUCCCGAGAGCCAAGACAUACGAGGGCAGCGUUGAACAACAGCUCCAGUGGCGUGAUUGUAGCACCGGCUGGAGGAGAUGGCUGCGUGUACAUGUUGUGAAGACGGGAUGCAAGCAACCUUGUAUGUGAAGAUAGGAAAAAGGAAUUGCAGUCAGAGGAGAGUGUACGUUUACCUUCCACAAAAUACAAUCACAGACACAAUGAAAGCGUCGCCGAGGAGAUCGGCGGCACGCAGGGUGGACGAAAUCGGCGGCGGCGAGAAGAUCAAUGUCACGCGGCGUCGAGGAGAUGGGGUUGGCGUCCAGAGGUUGACGAAGACGUGGAUACGGCAAGCACGUUAUUCUCGGCGGGCUGCACGCUCUCGUCUUUCAAAUGCGCUAAUUAGAUGCCAAGUACGUGUAGAUAACAUCAGGGGCAGUUUAGUCUUUUCCGGUGCCGGUAAAUGGGAAAAGAAAAAGGGAAAUCUGUAAAAGGGGUGGAAUGGCAUGUUAAUCAAAGUACACAUGAGCUGGGUGGCAUUUUUACGAA
Molecule: long non-coding RNA, 816 nt
Organism: Triticum dicoccoides
Lineage: Eukaryota; Viridiplantae; Streptophyta; Magnoliopsida; Poales; Poaceae
Exons: 2
Source: RefSeq, a predicted model, not a curated record